Molecule: long non-coding RNA, 1661 nt
Organism: Bubalus bubalis (water buffalo)
Lineage: Eukaryota; Metazoa; Chordata; Mammalia; Artiodactyla; Bovidae
Exons: 2
Source: RefSeq, a predicted model, not a curated record
CCAAAUCUGGGUCUUAGCUUUGUAGAGGAAGGUACCCUAUCUUUAGGUUUAGUAACACUUUAUAUUUUUAGUUUCUAGGCUGCUGUGUAAUUUUCUUAGCAAAUCUUCACUGUGAUUCUGGCUGAUAAUUUUCCUGGAACUAUAACUAAAUAAUUGGACUGCAACUUAAUCAUAAAAUUGCCUAAAUCAGUAGUUUCCAAAUUUUUUGCUUCAUAGACCAGUAAACUAUUUUUUAAGAUGCAAGAGAUACACAUGGAGUCACCAAUAGUUAGUUUUGCCAAGUGAAAAUGCAUUAGGAAAUCAACUACCAACAGUCUACACGAGAAAAGAUAUUUUAACCCUGAAAAGAUGGGCAUAGUCUCAGAAUAAAAUGUGGUCUCAUACUGAUCGAUUUUAACUUUUUAGGAAACUUUCUAUCUUGUCCUCCUCUUUCAGGUGUCACCCCCCCCACCCCCAGAAAAAAUGAAAAAGUUGUCACCAACUGGUGACAUUUGCCACUGGUGAAUUGCCACUUGGGAACCAAAAGGUGAAGUGUAAGAAUGGAAAAGGUCUUGCUCUUGAGACAACAGAAUUUCAUGCUUAAGAGACGUAGGGAAUAAGUUAUGGGUUCUGUAGGUAGGAAAUAGCAUCCCAAUUGUUAAAAAUUUUGGCUGCACUGGGUCUUCAUUGCAGUUUCCAGGCUCAAUAGUUGUGGCACUUGGGAUUUUCUAGUUGAGGACCGUGGGUUUACUUGCUCCACAGCGUAUGGGAUCUUGGUUCCCCAACCAGGGAUUGAACCAUGUCCCCUGCAUUGGAAGGUGGAUCCUUAACCACUGGACCACCAGGGAAGUCACAAUCCCAAUGUAUUUAUCUCUGUUCUUGUUCGGGGGCUCAUCCCCUUCUUGACUCUUAGUACUGACCACAGCAAGGGGCAAUAAAUAACAAGCAUCAAAAAAUGGAAAGGCCAGAUACACACACACACACACACACACACACACCCUCUAAGUUACAUAAGUAUGUUUAAGUAGUUCUCCUCCUGCCAAGUGGGUUUGUAAUCUCAGUUAGAAAAAGAUUUCAAUAUUCCUCUGUCACCUGAUGGUAAUUUGGGCUUUAUGUUCACACAGAUAUAUAACUCGGAUAUUUCCAAGUCUGACCUCUGAGACCUUCUUUCUCUCUCGUAAGGCUGGAGUCCUAAUGCAUCAUCAGAACUCAACAUUAUCCCUGAGGAUUUGGGAGGAGUUCCAUUUCUCAUAAAGCAUUUCUUGCCACAAGUAGGUUCAGGGAGGUCUGGCUCCUAUAGUCAAUUGGGUUCCCUUGGACCCCAGAGAUUCCCUUCAGGCUACUGCAUGGGAGCUCGGAGCCUCCCCUUCACAUGACGGGAAGACGGCCCCGAUUGUGGUCAGCAGAAAGCAGAAGAGAGGCCGUGCAUCCCCUUCGGUGUUGGUCAACCAGGUCAGAGAAACAUCCCCAUCAAGCAGCGAUGCAACAGGCCUCUCGAAGCAACUCUUGAGCAUGGUCUAGAGAUAGCAACUGCUUUUCACUGAUCCAUGACGAGAUGAUGAUCAUCAGCAAGGACAAUGUACUGAACUUUCUUAAGACUGAAUAUUUCAUUUAAAGGAUUAUCAGUGGAGAGUAUACCCUUCCUCUCUUUUUGUCAUUAAAAUACCUAUUCGUGUAUGAAA